RNAcentral lists this ribosomal RNA (720 nucleotides) under Lactiplantibacillus plantarum. Its description in RNAcentral is "bacterial SSU rRNA". It matches the Rfam family "Bacterial small subunit ribosomal RNA", at positions 28 to 713 of the family's 1533-position model. Lineage: Bacteria; Bacillati; Bacillota; Bacilli; Lactobacillales; Lactobacillaceae. The record is from RNAcentral.
CCGUAGUAUCUGCCGUGUGCAUAAUACAUGCAAGUCGAUCGAACUCUGGUAUUGAUUGGUGCUUGCAUCAUGAUUUACAUUUGAGUGAGUGGCGAACUGGUGAGUAACACGUGGGAAACCUGCCCAGAAGCGGGGGAUAACACCUGGAAACAGAUGCUAAUACCGCAUAACAACUUGGACCGCAUGGUCCGAGCUUGAAAGAUGGCUUCGGCUAUCACUUUUGGAUGGUCCCGCGGCGUAUUAGCUAGAUGGUGGGGUAACGGCUCACCAUGGCAAUGAUACGUAGCCGACCUGAGAGGGUAAUCGGCCACAUUGGGACUGAGACACGGCCCAAACUCCUACGGGAGGCAGCAGUAGGGAAUCUUCCACAAUGGACGAAAGUCUGAUGGAGCAACGCCGCGUGAGUGAAGAAGGGUUUCGGCUCGUAAAACUCUGUUGUUAAAGAAGAACAUAUCUGAGAGUAACUGUUCAGGUAUUGACGGUAUUUAACCAGAAAGCCACGGCUAACUACGUGCCAGCAGCCGCGGUAAUACGUAGGUGGCAAGCGUUGUCCGGAUUUAUUGGGCGUAAAGCGAGCGCAGGCGGUUUUUUAAGUCUGAUGUGAAAGCCUUCGGCUCAACCGAAGAAGUGCAUCGGAAACUGGGAAACUUGAGUGCAGAAGAGGACAGUGGAACUCCAUGUGUAGCGGUGAAAUGCGUAGAUAUAUGGAAGAACACCAGU